GAGUCAUCCCAAUGACUGUGACGAAGGAACUGUUACCUCAAUUUAAACCAAUCAUUUAAAUACUAAUAGCAUGGACAAUGAUAAUGACUGGUCCAUAGAAGGUACCAAUUAAAUUAGACUCAUUUUCUUUCAUUUACCUUCUCAGUACCUGAUGUCACAAGCUCAUUAUGAGGUCAUGGGGCUCCUGAAGAUAAACUCACGUGUUUGUUAAAACCUUGCUAAAGUUUAUUAAAGCUUGUCAAAGAAGAUUCUGAUUUGCUGAGACUGCUUUAAAACAUCUGACUCAAGACAAAUAAAUCCCAUUUGUUGCACGCAUGUGUGCCAGGCACUGAGCUAGGGAUUUUAUAUACGUUGUCUCAUUUGAGCUGAGAAGGACCAGCAGGGGAGCGUCCCAUGUGCCCAACUUUGGAGCAGGCAUCUCCACACCUCUCCUCUCUGCACACAGCCCUUCUUUCAAGCUCCAGGAGAGUCUGUGACAAGGAGUGGGCUCCCUCUGCAAGACAUCUUGAUUCCUUUGAAGAAAGGCAGCCAGGAAAUGUGAAGCAUGGUGAUGGUGGCCUUUUCAGGAGUGGGUGGGCUGUUUUAUUACUAAGAGUUGAGUGACAGGCUUCCCAGCAGACUCGAAAGACAGAACAUCCUUCUUACUGCUGGGUUGAUGAACAUGCUAUCCAUCUGCCUGAAACUUUCCUCCCUGGAUGGAUGGAUGAAGGAAUGAACAACUAGGACCUGAAUUCAUAGCUCAUUUCAUUAGAAGUCAUUGCCUCAUUGGGUUAGUGUUCAUUCGAUCAAUUCAAAUUACCUCUAAUUCCCCCAAGUUAUAAUUUCUCUAGCUUGACUUUAUCACUUGCUUGAGAUUUUCCAAUUGUAACCUUUGGGUCUGAAAUAAU
RNAcentral lists this long non-coding RNA (887 nucleotides) under Bos taurus (domestic cattle). RNAcentral describes it as "long non-coding RNA NONBTAT018798". The record is from RNAcentral. Lineage: Eukaryota; Metazoa; Chordata; Mammalia; Artiodactyla; Bovidae.